This is a long non-coding RNA of Passer domesticus (house sparrow), 575 nucleotides long. RefSeq lists it as uncharacterized. Lineage: Eukaryota; Metazoa; Chordata; Aves; Passeriformes; Passeridae. The transcript is spliced from 2 exons. The record is from RefSeq and is a predicted model, not a curated record.
AAGCAGUAGGGAGAGAGGUGUUCUGGGGCUGGAGAGAAGCGAUGUGUGGUGAGCAAGUUUGUGGCACUUCGGGGUAGAAAAGGAGGACUUUGAGGAGCAGGUGCUGGUCUGCUCUACUGAGCACGAGUUUGGAGCUCUGCCUGCUGAAGACAUGGAGCAAAAUCUUGUAGCUUCACUUCCCUGAUAGGCUGGUGGGCUCUACCUUGUUUCCUGAUGACUGUAUUAACUGUGCUCAACUAGUUCUUCCUACAACACUUCUUUCAAACCUGUGGGGGAAAAGCCAAUGUGAUAAAACAACAAAUGAUCACAGUAGAGGAUGAGUGACCUUACAGAACGAAUUCUGGCUUUUCUGCAAGCUUCAGAGCCUCGUGCAUGCCUGCGGCUGAGAGCUUGCGGUUGAUGUUCCUGUAUCUGCACUGCAGCAGGUUGCGGUAGGUUGUCCUCAGGUCCCGGUUAAAGAAGGCAUAGAUAAAAGGGUUAAUGAGAGAGUUUGCAUAGCCCAGCCACAGAAAUGUUCUCUCCACCCAGAGUGGGAUGCAGCUGCACGCUGUACCACAGAUGAAGGGCCUUGCAGU